RNAcentral lists this ribosomal RNA (1540 nucleotides) under Klebsiella pneumoniae subsp. pneumoniae. RNAcentral describes it as "bacterial SSU rRNA". It matches the Rfam family "Bacterial small subunit ribosomal RNA". The record is from RNAcentral. Lineage: Bacteria; Pseudomonadati; Pseudomonadota; Gammaproteobacteria; Enterobacterales; Enterobacteriaceae.
ACUUAAAUUGAAGAGUUUGAUCAUGGCUCAGAUUGAACGCUGGCGGCAGGCCUAACACAUGCAAGUCGAGCGGUAGCACAGAGAGCUUGCUCUCGGGUGACGAGCGGCGGACGGGUGAGUAAUGUCUGGGAAACUGCCUGAUGGAGGGGGAUAACUACUGGAAACGGUAGCUAAUACCGCAUAACGUCGCAAGACCAAAGUGGGGGACCUUCGGGCCUCAUGCCAUCAGAUGUGCCCAGAUGGGAUUAGCUAGUAGGUGGGGUAACGGCUCACCUAGGCGACGAUCCCUAGCUGGUCUGAGAGGAUGACCAGCCACACUGGAACUGAGACACGGUCCAGACUCCUACGGGAGGCAGCAGUGGGGAAUAUUGCACAAUGGGCGCAAGCCUGAUGCAGCCAUGCCGCGUGUGUGAAGAAGGCCUUCGGGUUGUAAAGCACUUUCAGCGGGGAGGAAGGCGUUAAGGUUAAUAACCUUGGCGAUUGACGUUACCCGCAGAAGAAGCACCGGCUAACUCCGUGCCAGCAGCCGCGGUAAUACGGAGGGUGCAAGCGUUAAUCGGAAUUACUGGGCGUAAAGCGCACGCAGGCGGUCUGUCAAGUCGGAUGUGAAAUCCCCGGGCUCAACCUGGGAACUGCAUUCGAAACUGGCAGGCUAGAGUCUUGUAGAGGGGGGUAGAAUUCCAGGUGUAGCGGUGAAAUGCGUAGAGAUCUGGAGGAAUACCGGUGGCGAAGGCGGCCCCCUGGACAAAGACUGACGCUCAGGUGCGAAAGCGUGGGGAGCAAACAGGAUUAGAUACCCUGGUAGUCCACGCCGUAAACGAUGUCGAUUUGGAGGUUGUGCCCUUGAGGCGUGGCUUCCGGAGCUAACGCGUUAAAUCGACCGCCUGGGGAGUACGGCCGCAAGGUUAAAACUCAAAUGAAUUGACGGGGGCCCGCACAAGCGGUGGAGCAUGUGGUUUAAUUCGAUGCAACGCGAAGAACCUUACCUGGUCUUGACAUCCACAGAACUUGGUGCCUUCGGGAACUGUGAGACAGGUGCUGCAUGGCUGUCGUCAGCUCGUGUUGUGAAAUGUUGGGUUAAGUCCCGCAACGAGCGCAACCCUUAUCCUUUGUUGCCAGCGGUCCGGCCGGGAACUCAAAGGAGACUGCCAGUGAUAAACUGGAGGAAGGUGGGGAUGACGUCAAGUCAUCAUGGCCCUUACGACCAGGGCUACACACGUGCUACAAUGGCAUAUACAAAGAGAAGCGACCUCGCGAGAGCAAGCGGACCUCAUAAAGUAUGUCGUAGUCCGGAUUGGAGUCUGCAACUCGACUCCAUGAAGUCGGAAUCGCUAGUAAUCGUAGAUCAGAAUGCUACGGUGAAUACGUUCCCGGGCCUUGUACACACCGCCCGUCACACCAUGGGAGUGGGUUGCAAAAGAAGUAGGUAGCUUAACCUUCGGGAGGGCGCUUACCACUUUGUGAUUCAUGACUGGGGUGAAGUCGUAACAAGGUAACCGUAGGGGAACCUGCGGUUGGAUCACCUCCUUACCUUAAAGAA